AUGGAGUGUGAAAAGUCUUCGCUAUUUUACUUUCGCUGCCGUGUGAAGUCAAUUUUUUGCUUUCCAGCCUUUUUUGGGCAUAUUUUAGCUGAUCAACCAGUCACUAGGACAGAAGCUUGUCAGAGGGAUGUCUUUACUGGUGAGUCACACCCAUGAGCCCUGUUCUUUCCUACCAGGUCCUGCCCUGAUCCUCUCUCUCUAAUUAUCUGGGUUUCUCCGUUGAGUGUGAUAUAACUCCGAUACUCAUUGGGCAUCACCUGCAGUUUCCUGGGCACUGAAAGUCCCUUCACCACUAAGGACUUUCAUGUUAAUAACUUGCCUGCACAGCUUAAUUCGCCUCUUUGAUGAUUUAUGAGGCUUUUCAAAGGGUUUCAUAGACCUUCAGUCAAGAUAACAGUAGCCCACAGGGGCUUAUCAGGAGGAAGGUUGGCUGCGGGUCCCUGGGUCCUGGGGGAGAUAAGAACAGCUCUGAGUAAUGGAGCGACGGUGCCCGUCUGCAGAGAGGCCUCUGUGCUCGGGUGGAAGAUUAAAGACUGA
Molecule: long non-coding RNA, 537 nt
Filed under: Calidris pugnax (ruff)
Lineage: Eukaryota; Metazoa; Chordata; Aves; Charadriiformes; Scolopacidae
Description: lncRNA (ENSCPUG00000008942.1)
Source: RNAcentral